AUUAGAUACCCGUGUAGUCCUAGCCGUAAACGAUACUCGCUAGGUGUCGGCCACGGUGCGACCGUUGUCGGUGCCGUAGGGAAGCCGUGAAGCGAGCCACCUGGGAAGUACGGCCGCAAGGCUGAAACUUAAAGGAAUUGGCGGGGGAGCACAACAACGGGUGGAGCUUGCGGUUUAAUUGGAUUCAACGCCGGAAAUCUUACCGGGACCGACAGCAACAUGAAGGCCAGGCUGAAGACUUUGCCGGAUUAGCUG
Molecule: ribosomal RNA, 255 nt
Filed under: uncultured archaeon
Lineage: Archaea
Description: partial 16S ribosomal RNA
Rfam family: Archaeal small subunit ribosomal RNA
Source: RNAcentral